Molecule: long non-coding RNA, 1120 nt
Filed under: Homo sapiens (human)
Lineage: Eukaryota; Metazoa; Chordata; Mammalia; Primates; Hominidae
Description: MIR9-1 host gene
Source: RNAcentral
AGAGCCGCGGCAGAGGCAGAGGAGGGAGCUAGGAGGUGAGACCCGCUCCACCCUGCUCGCCUAGGCUCGGCGGAGGCUAAGAGCAGGGCAGCCUCCUCUGCCCGGCGCCCGCUGAGCCCCGGCAUCUGGAACUCAGGGCCCUGGCGCUCCAGGGGCGGGAACUGGCCGGGAGGACCGCGCGGGAGAGCACGGAUGGGCACCCUGGGCUCGAUCUUCUCACCUGGGGCGGGUGGGUUCUGCACCACCCUCCCACCCUCCUUCCUCCGUGUGGACGAUAGAGCCACAUCCAGCACCACGGACAGCUCCCGGGCGAUCCCAUGGGAGUAGAAGAGGUGUGAGCAGGUUGCCCAGCUGGUUAGCGGAAAUGCCAAGAUCCAGGCUCCUGAAUUUCAGCCUGGCCCUUUCUAUCUGUCUGAUACCUCCUUUACGAGUCUCUCUGCCUGCGUUGUGUGGAGCGGGCCUGCUGCUGGUUGGGGGAGUUUGCAGGUUGCCCCUAUGCAAAAAAGGACAGGAUGCAUGACUGGCAUGUAAGGUGUUCAGGAAAACCAGGAAAAGCACUGGAAGCUGAGGGUUUUGACAGCGGCAGGCCACAUAGGCAAGGAAGCUGGUGCAUGCAGUGUCUCUGGGCAAGGUUAUGCAACCUUCAUCUCCUCGUCCUCCAGGCAGCACAAGCCAUUGUGGAAUCUCCACCAGGUGUACAGAACGGUGCCUCUGCGUCCUGCCACUCAGGACCUCUCAAGUCCCCGAUGUGAUGGCUCCUCAGCAUGAUCAGGAACCAAAAAGAAGAAUGUACUUCAUCUGGUUGGGCUGGAUUCCCUCUGAUAAGCCUUCCCAGUUGACUGAAAGAUGAGGCUAGGCUCUAGCAAGUUGAAGUCAAACCAGCUCCUUCAAGAAGCUUUGAGCAGAAUGAAGUGGGGAGGACCCAGCUUCCAGCCCAGGAAGCCCACUGUACCUGGAGCCAUCUGGGAUAAGACUUUGACCCAUGACUCCCAUAUCCACAGCCUGUCCAUCCUAGCCCAUCCCAGUUUAUCCUGUAUCAUUUGAGCUGGGAUUCCCACAUCCUCUGAGUUGGAAGUCCCAUCUCAAGUCUUCAAUAAAGACUCUUGAAUAUUGAAUCACA